Molecule: long non-coding RNA, 632 nt
Organism: Agrilus planipennis (emerald ash borer)
Lineage: Eukaryota; Metazoa; Arthropoda; Insecta; Coleoptera; Buprestidae
Exons: 3
Source: RefSeq, a predicted model, not a curated record
AAGACAAUAAAAUUAAAAAUAACUACAAAUAUUUUUAAUGACUAAUUUUGGUAGAAAGUGGGAAUUCUGAGAGAAUAUGAAGCUUCAAAUGAUCUCAAACGAAUUUCGCUGGGGACAUUUUUAAAAUCAGUUAUUUUAUUCGAUAAUAUAUUACACAUGAAACUUAUUGCACCAAAUAAACAAUUAUUAGUAGGACUGGUGUGCUUGUGGCUUUCUACUAAAAACGAAUGCGGGAUUAUUCGAAAGGCAUCAGAAAUAGCUCAUUUAAUAAGCGACAGGUACACAGUGAAAGAAAUAUUAGAGAUGGAAAUGGCAAUUCUGACUUAUUUUAAAGGAGAUUUUAAUUUCCCGGACCCCACUGAUUUUAUCGCUUAUAUUAUUUAUAAAUGGUUAGGAUUUGAAAGUACGGUAAGUUAAGUUAAUCAAGACGAUUUUUUUUAACCACAAUCCAACAUUCAAGAAGUAAAAAUAAAAUGCAUAAAGCGAGUGUUACUAACCGUCAUUCAGGCAUUUUGUACUCGAAAAGUACACUGCAGUUCUUUAAGAAUUUUGACUACCCUCCCCCUUUUAAACGCCCCGUAAAGUUUUGCUUUAAACCCUCCCCCCUCUUAAACUUACAAAACAUCGCUUGU